Rosa chinensis is the source of this 2298-nucleotide RNA transcript. RefSeq lists it as uncharacterized. Lineage: Eukaryota; Viridiplantae; Streptophyta; Magnoliopsida; Rosales; Rosaceae. The record is from RefSeq and is a predicted model, not a curated record. The transcript has 3 exons.
UCUCCAACUCCCCAAAAGUCAGGAGUUAUAUUGAUAGGAGACAAACCCCAAAUUUAAAUGGCUACAUUCAGACCACAUUCUUACACAAAUCUGUUGUGUGAGUCCUUGUCCAACUUAAUAGGGCCUCACAAACCUAGCUGAAACCGUAGCACUUAAGCAAAAAAAAUAACAAAACUGACCCAAAACCAAAACCCCCUCUCGAUAGCACCUCACUCUCGACCUCACCUCACUCUCAAGUCUCAACAGACCCAAAACCAAAACCCUCAUUCUCUCUCUAACCAAUCUCAUCUCUCUGCGUGAGAUUGUUGACCGCGAAUGGGAUUGAGCUGGUGAAGUUGUUAGAACUGAGAUCGAGCCGAUUCAGCCUCUCCAGAUCGAGCCAAUUCCCUUGGAGGGAAGCACUAUUGGCGAAAUCUGCGAAGACUCAGAACUCGGAGCUGACUCAGCCGGCAGAGCGUGUUGGGUGGAAUCAGACCCACAAGCCCAACACCGGGAAGGUGAAGCGAGUACACAUACAGCUGGUUCCCGUCGUUGUCAGAGCUCCAGGUUUGAAGAAGCUGAGCUAUGGCGAGAUUACGGGCAUUCAGUUCGAGUACUUGGGAAGAUAAGGGUUCGUGCCUCUGGUCAUUGAAACGGGUCAUUCAGGUAAUCUAGGUUUAGUUGUGUACUUGGUGUUUAUUCAAAAGGACUCAAUUCACACCUCUCCAUUUACCGUAGCUCUGCCUCUCUCUCUCUCUCUUGAUGCCGAGGUCCUUUCUGCGUUAUCUGUGGUAGACUGGUAGGGCUCCAACAUCAUUUUUAGAUUUGUGGCUAGGCUCCUCUAAAUCUUUAUUCGCUUCGCACUCUCUCUAUUAGAGUUGGAUCUAGAGAUAGUUCGCAUUGUUUUCAGAUCUGUGGUAAGCACUUUGUGAAACAUCUUUGUUUGGAUUGGACGUUUUCUAUGUUUCAUGUACUAAAAGCAUAGCUCGCUCGAUUCAGUUGCCUCAAACCCUAGUCUCGCAGCAACUUCUGGAAUAGUGAAACCUUGGAACUCGCCUUAUGCUAAAAUGGGUAUCUCUCGAUGCUCAAGAGACUUGCCACUGGAUACAAGAAUAAGGUGUGGAGAAAGAAGCUAAAGUAUGAUUCUUUCAUUGUUCUUGUGGUUGAUCAAAUAUGCUUCUGCACUUUUCUAAUUUCGUAGCUCCAGGUCUUCUAUUGUCUUUCAUGUCUUGUAAACCUCCUCUAAUUCACAUAUUUCACUAUGACAUAAAAAAUGGAGGACUUUGAGAUUUCAAACCACUGAGCUUCUCUCUAUUUUGCUUCAAUACCAGAAAUCUACUUUCUUUUGGAUGGAUAGGACUGGAAAAGAUCAAAGAUCAGUUACUGCACUCCAAGUGUUUGAUGUUAUGCCUCAAAGACAACACCCAAGCUGAACCAGUGGGCUGUUCCAUGAUUUUCGAAAAAUCUAUACUCCUUGUUUUACUCUCAGUUUUUGACAGCUUAAAGUAGACUCUUCAAUGGUCAUUUUGAGCUUGGUUUCACAAAAAACGGAGUUAAAUUGAGUUACUUGUGCUAUUUUGAAGUUACUGCACUGUUUCAGGAUUUCUGCAGAAUCAGCGUUUCUGUCAAUUUUAGAUUCCUGUUUGACCCUUCAUUUGAACUUCAAUUUUCAUGAAACUUUGCAAAAUAGUAGCUUUGCAUGUCUACUUCAAAUCUGGAAAGUUUUGCUUGAAAUCACUGAAAGACUAAUUGUUGGUGAAAUUUUCUUGCUUGUUACCAGUUUUCUGAAAUUUUCUCAAACUUGCAGCUUAUUGUUGCAAGCAAUUGAUUUGAGAACCUUUACACUUAUUUUUCUGUCCUCGAUCUUUAGUGAGUCAGAUUAGACAUGCAAAGCAUGCCCUGAAACUUGACUUCAUUUGAAAGGUUUAGAAAAGGUUUUGUCUUUGUUCAAAAGUGACUACAAACCAGUGUUUUCUAUGCAUUCUGAUCAGAACAUUCUGAUCAAUGUUUUCUUUUCGGAAUAAGCCCACACAUGGAGAAGCUCUGGCUAUUGCUCAGUGUCUAAUUGAGUGAUUUAUUCUAAGGGAGACAUGUUAUUAGGACUGAUGGUGGGUUACAAGUUCAUAAUAGGUUUUUCAGUUUCUUUAAUCGAACCAAGGCUUUGAAGCUAAUUAUUGUACACAAUCUUUAUGAGCAUGGCUUGUAUUUUUUCUAGUUAUUUAUAGUUGCUGAACCUAUUUAUUUACCUUGGUUUAUUUUUCAUCACCUAUUGUUUUGCAAAGAAUUUGAAUUUUGUUGUCUAAUGAUAUGAACUGUAUG